GCAGUCAGAGGCGAUGAAGGACGUGCUAAUCUGCGAUAAGCGUCGGUAAGGUGAUAUGAACCGUUAUAACCGGCGAUUUCCGAAUGGGGAAACCCAGUGUGAUUCGUCACACUAUCAUUAACUGAAUCCAUAGGUUAAUGAGGCGAACCGGGGGAACUGAAACAUCUAAGUACCCCGAGGAAAAGAAAUCAACCGAGAUUCCCCCAGUAGCGGCGAGCGAACGGGGAGCAGCCCAGAGCCUGAAUCAGUGUGUGUGUUAGUGGAAGCGUCUGGAAAGGCGUGCGAUACAGGGUGACAGCCCCGUACACAAAAAUGCACAUACUGUGAGCUCGAUGAGUAGGGCGGGACACGUGGUAUCCUGUCUGAAUAUGGGGGGACCAUCCUCCAAGGCUAAAUACUCCUGACUGACCGAUAGUGAACCAGUACCGUGAGGGAAAGGCGAAAAGAACCCCGGCGAGGGGAGUGAAAAAGAACCUGAAACCGUGUACGUACAAGCAGUGGGAGCACGCUUAGGCGUGUGACUGCGUACCUUUUGUAUAAUGGGUCAGCGACUUAUAUUCUGUAGCAAGGUUAACCGAAUAGGGGAGCCGAAGGGAAACCGAGUCUUAACUGGGCGUUAAGUUGCAGGGUAUAGACCCGAAACCCGGUGAUCUAGCCAUGGGCAGGUUGAAGGUUGGGUAACACUAACUGGAGGACCGAACCGACUAAUGUUGAAAAAUUAGCGGAUGACUUGUGGCUGGGGGUGAAAGGCCAAUCAAACCGGGAGAUAGCUGGUUCUCCCCGAAAGCUAUUUAGGUAGCGCCUCGUGAAUUCAUCUCCGGGGGUAGAGCACUGUUUCGGCAAGGGGGUCAUCCCGACUUACCAACCCGAUGCAAACUGCGAAUACCGGAGAAUGUUAUCACGGGAGACACACGGCGGGUGCUAACGUCCGUCGUGAAGAGGGAAACAACCCAGACCGCCAGCUAAGGUCCCAAAGUCAUGGUUAAGUGGGAAACGAUGUGGGAAGGCCCAGACAGCCAGGAUGUUGGCUUAGAAGCAGCCAUCAUUUAAAGAAAGCGUAAUAGCUCACUGGUCGAGUCGGCCUGCGCGGAAGAUGUAACGGGGCUAAACCAUGCACCGAAGCUGCGGCAGCGACGCUUAUGCGUUGUUGGGUAGGGGAGCGUUCUGUAAGCCUGUGAAGGUGUGCUGUGAGGUAUGCUGGAGGUAUCAGAAGUGCGAAUGCUGACAUAAGUAACGAUAAAGCGGGUGAAAAGCCCGCUCGCCGGAAGACCAAGGGUUCCUGUCCAACGUUAAUCGGGGCAGGGUGAGUCGACCCCUAAGGCGAGGCCGAAAGGCGUAGUCGAUGGGAAACAGGUUAAUAUUCCUGUACUUGGUGUUACUGCGAAGGGGGGACGGAGAAGGCUAUGUUGGCCGGGCGACGGUUGUCCCGGUUUAAGCGUGUAGGCUGGUUUUCCAGGCAAAUCCGGAAAAUCAAGGCCGAGGCGUGAUGACGAGGCACUACGGUGCUGAAGCAACAAAUGCCCUGCUUCCAGGAAAAGCCUCUAAGCAUCAGGUAACAUCAAAUCGUACCCCAAACCGACACAGGUGGUCAGGUAGAGAAUACCAAGGCGCUUGAGAGAACUCGGGUGAAGGAACUAGGCAAAAUGGUGCCGUAACUUCGGGAGAAGGCACGCUGAUACGUAGGUGAAGCGACUUGCUCGUGGAGCUGAAAUCAGUCGAAGAUACCAGCUGGCUGCAACUGUUUAUUAAAAACACAGCACUGUGCAAACACGAAAGUGGACGUAUACGGUGUGACGCCUGCCCGGUGCCGGAAGGUUAAUUGAUGGGGUUAGCGCAAGCGAAGCUCUUGAUCGAAGCCCCGGUAAACGGCGGCCGUAACUAUAACGGUCCUAAGGUAGCGAAAUUCCUUGUCGGGUAAGUUCCGACCUGCACGAAUGGCGUAAUGAUGGCCAGGCUGUCUCCACCCGAGACUCAGUGAAAUUGAACUCGCUGUGAAGAUGCAGUGUACCCGCGGCAAGACGGAAAGACCCCGUGAACCUUUACUAUAGCUUGACACUGAACAUUGAGCCUUGAUGUGUAGGAUAGGUGGGAGGCUUUGAAGUGUGGACGCCAGUCUGCAUGGAGCCGACCUUGAAAUACCACCCUUUAAUGUUUGAUGUUCUAACGUGGACCCGUGAUCCGGGUUGCGGACAGUGUCUGGUGGGUAGUUUGACUGGGGCGGUCUCCUCCUAAAGAGUAACGGAGGAGCACGAAGGUUGGCUAAUCCUGGUCGGACAUCAGGAGGUUAGUGCAAUGGCAUAAGCCAGCUUGACUGCGAGCGUGACGGCGCGAGCAGGUGCGAAAGCAGGUCAUAGUGAUCCGGUGGUUCUGAAUGGAAGGGCCAUCGCUCAACGGAUAAAAGGUACUCCGGGGAUAACAGGCUGAUACCGCCCAAGAGUUCAUAUCGACGGCGGUGUUUGGCACCUCGAUGUCGGCUCAUCACAUCCUGGGGCUGAAGUAGGUCCCAAGGGUAUGGCUGUUCGCCAUUUAAAGUGGUACGCGAGCUGGGUUUAGAACGUCGUGAGACAGUUCGGUCCCUAUCUGCCGUGGGCGCUGGAGAACUGAGGGGGGCUGCUCCUAGUACGAGAGGACCGGAGUGGACGCAUCACUGGUGUUCGGGUUGUCAUGCCAAUGGCACUGCCCGGUAGCUAAAUGCGGAAGAGAUAAGUGCUGAAAGCAUCUAAGCACGAAACUUGCCCCGAGAUGAGUUCUCCCUGACCCUUUAAGGGUCCUGAAGGAACGUUGAAGACGACGACGUUGAUAGGCCGGGUGUGUAAGCGCAGCGAUGCGUUGAGCUAACCGGUACUAAUGAACCGUGAGGCUUAACCUUACAACGCCGAAG
RNAcentral lists this ribosomal RNA (2881 nucleotides) under Shigella flexneri. RNAcentral describes it as "partial 23S ribosomal RNA". It matches the Rfam family "Bacterial large subunit ribosomal RNA". The record is from RNAcentral. Lineage: Bacteria; Pseudomonadati; Pseudomonadota; Gammaproteobacteria; Enterobacterales; Enterobacteriaceae.